This 253-nucleotide ribosomal RNA is filed under the name uncultured bacterium. RNAcentral describes it as "partial 16S ribosomal RNA". It matches the Rfam family "Bacterial small subunit ribosomal RNA", at positions 524 to 776 of the family's 1533-position model. The record is from RNAcentral.
UACGGAGGGUGCGAGCGUUGUCCGGAAUCACUGGGCGUAAAGGGCGCGUAGGCGGCUCAUGAAGGCUGUGGUGAAAGUCCGGGGCUCAACCUCGGAUCGGCCGUGGCGACUCGUGGGCUGGAGCACUGUAGAGGCGGGUGGAAUUCCGGGUGUAGCGGUGGAAUGCGUAGAGAUCCGGAGGAACACCAGUGGCGAAGGCGGCUGCCUGGGCCUGGCCUGACGCUGAGGCGCGAAAGCGUGGGGAGCAAUCCGG